GCGGACGGGUGAGUAACGCGUGAGAAUCUGCCCUUAGGAGGGGGACAACAGCUGGAAACGGCUGCUAAUACCCCAUAUGCCGAGAGGUGAAACUUAUAUGGCCUGAGGAUGAGCUCGCGACUGAUUAGCUAGUUGGUAGGGUAAGAGCCUACCAAGGCGACGAUCAGUAGCUGGUCUGAGAGGAUGAUCAGCCACACUGGGACUGAGACACGGCCCAGACUCCUACGGGAGGCAGCAGUGGGGAAUUUUCCGCAAUGGGCGAAAGCCUGACGGAGCAACGCCGCGUGCGGGAGGACGGCCUGUGGGUUGUAAACCGCUUUUCUCAGGGAAGAAACCUGACGGUACCUGAGGAAUCAGCAUCGGCUAACUCCGUGCCAGCAGCCGCGGUAAUACGGAGGAUGCAAGCGUUAUCCGGAAUUAUUGGGCGUAAAGCGUCCGUAGGCGGUUUAACAAGUCUGCUGUUAAAGCUCGGAGCUCAACUCCGAAACAGCAGUGGAAACUGUUGAACUAGAGUGCGGUAGGGGUUGAGGGAAUUCCCAGUGUAGCGGUGAA
RNAcentral lists this ribosomal RNA (552 nucleotides) under Halomicronema sp. M5C7. RNAcentral's name for it is "bacterial SSU rRNA". It matches the Rfam family "Bacterial small subunit ribosomal RNA", at positions 98 to 685 of the family's 1533-position model. The record is from RNAcentral. Lineage: Bacteria; Bacillati; Cyanobacteriota; Cyanophyceae; Nodosilineales; Nodosilineaceae.